RNAcentral lists this ribosomal RNA (478 nucleotides) under uncultured bacterium. Its description in RNAcentral is "partial 16S ribosomal RNA". It matches the Rfam family "Bacterial small subunit ribosomal RNA", at positions 28 to 523 of the family's 1533-position model. The record is from RNAcentral.
GACGAACGCUGGCGGCGUGCUUAACACAUGCAAGUCGAACGGUAAGGCCCUUCGGGGUACACGAGUGGCGAACGGGUGAGUAACACGUGGGUGAUCUGCCCUGCACUUCGGGAUAAGCCUGGGAAACUGGGUCUAAUACCGGAUAGGACCACUGCCUGCAUGGGUGGUGGUGGAAAGCUUUUGCGGUGUGGGAUGGGCCCGCGGCCUAUCAGCUUGUUGGUGGGGUGAUGGCCUACCAAGGCGACGACGGGUAGCCGGCCUGAGAGGGUGACCGGCCACACUGGGACUGCGAUCCGUACCAGACUCCUACGGGAGGCAGCAGUGGGGAAUAUUGCACAAUGGGCGCAAGCCUUAUGCAGCGACGCCGCGUGAGGGAUGACGGCCUUCGGGUUGUAAACCUCUUUCAGCACCGACGAAGCGCAAGUGACGGUAGGUGCAGAAGAAGGACCGGCCAACUACGUGCCAGCCGCCGCGGUAA